UAUAAUGCUAAUGGAUACACAAAGUAAAAAAGAUGCAAAUUCUGACACCAAAAACAAAAUAUGGAGACAGAGAGUCAAAAUGUAGAUCUUUAGUAUGUGUUUAAAGUUAAAUUAUUAUCAGCUUAAAAUAGACUGUUACAAAUAUAAGAUGCUUUAUGUAAACCUCAAGAUAACCACAAACAAGAACCUAUAGUAGAUACACAAAAGAUAAAGUGAAAUGAAUCUAAGCAUAUGACUACAGAAAAUCAUCAAAUCAUAAAGGAAGAGAGCAAGAGAAGAAAGGAAUAAAGAAAUUACAAGGGCUAGCCUGGUGGUAUAGUGGUUAAGUUCACUUGCUCCACUUGGGUGGCCUAGGGUUCAUGGGUUCAGGUUCUGAGUGUGGACUUACACACUGCUCAUCAUGCCAUGCUGUGGUGGUGUCCCACAUAUAAAAUAGAGGAAGACCGACACAGAUGUUAGCUCAGGGCCUAUCUUCCUCGCCAAAAAAAAAAAGAGGAAGAAAAGAAAAGAAAUUACAAACUGGCAGAAAACAAUUAACAAAAUGGCAAUAGUAAGUCCAUAUCUAUCAAUAAUAACUUUAAACAUAAAUGUACUAUAUUCUUCAAUCAAAAGAUACAGAGUAACUGAGUGGAUAAAAAAAGAAGACCCAAUGAUACACUGCCUACAAGAGACUCCCUUUAGAUGUAAGGGCACACACAGACUGAAGGUGAAGGAAUGGAAAAAUAUAUUCCACGCAAAUGGAAACCAAAAGAAAGCAGGGGUAGCUAUACUUAUAUCAGACAAAAUAGACUUUAAUCCAAAAACUGUAAAGGAGAAAAAUAAGGUCAUUAUAUAACAACAAAGGGGUCAAUCCAACAAGGGGAUAUAACAUUUGUAAAUAUUUAUGCAUCCAACAUAGGAGCAUUUAAAUAUUUAAGAAAAUAUUAACUGACCAGAAGGGAGAAAAAGACAGCAAUACAAUAAUAUUAGGGAACUUCAAUGCCCCACUUUCAAUAAUGGAUGGGUCAUCCAGCUGUGAGAAGGAAGUAAAUCCUGCCAUUUGUGACAAAAUGGAUGGAUGCUGAGGGCAUUAUGCCAAGGGAAAUAAGCCAGACAAAGACAAGUGCUGCAUAGUAUCACUUAUAUGUGGAAUCUUAAAAAAAAAAAGUCAAAACUUAUAGAAACAGAGAGCAGAAAAGUGGUUUCCAGGGACAAAAGGGGUUGAGGAAAUAGGGAGAGGUUGGUAAAAAGUUACAAACUUUCAGCUAUGAGAUGAAUUUGGUCUGAGGAUCUAAUAUAAAGCAUGGUGAUUAUUCUUGAUAACACUGUAUUAUAUAGUUGAAAUUUGCUAAGAGAGUAAAACUUAAAUGUUCUCACAAAAAAAAUAAAAUAAACAUAUGAGGGGAUAGAUGUGUUAACUAUCUAGAUGAGGAGAAUCUUUUCACAACGUAUACAUAUAUCAUCACAAUACAUAUUUUAAAAAUCUUAUAAUUUUUAUUGUGUUUGUUGAGGAACACUGGCCCUGAGCUAACCUCUGUUGUCAAUCUUUCUUUCCUUUGCUUGAUGGAGAUUGUUGUCGAGCUAACAUCUGUGCCAAUCUUCCUCCAUUCCAUAUGUGAGAUGUCACCACAGCAUGGCUUGAUGAAUUGUGUGUAGGUCUACACCUGGGGUACCCACAAACCCUGGGCUACCGAAGCGGAGAGUGUGAACUUAACCACUAUGCCACUGGGCCAGCUCCAAUCUUAUAAUUUUAUAUAUAAAUUAUACUUCAAUAAAGCUGAAAUUUAAAAGAAAGAAAGAAAAUCAAAGAAUCUGCAGUGAUAAUGCUUUUUGGAAAUAUUAAGGAAGAGGUCCAAACACUAGCAUGAAGGAUUCAUUAGAUGUCGACAGUUGUAAAGGAAUUCUGUUAGUAUCCACAACAGGGUGUGUGUCAGUCUUUGUCCAUUUCCAGCAGCCAUUGAUGAGUGAAGGACUACAUAGUCUCUCAUGGGUGGCCAUGACUUUCCCCUCUAGAGCCGACCAGAGCUGAUCACCAUGAUCUGGGGAUAUAAUUGUGAUGUUUCUUGGGCUGUAGAGCAGUGAAAAUUACACCGUUGCUAACGAGCAGUCAGCAAAACACCAGAGAACCAAGAAACAUAUGUUUUCUCAGGCUCAAACCUCUGGAGAAUCUCCCUAGAUCCAUAAUGUGGUGAUCAUUCUGAAGACUCUAAUAUGCUGAAACCUCUGCCCAAAGUGGUUAGAGGCACAUAGUUUGCAUAUCUUGAUAACGUUUCUAGAAAUCUAAAGUUGUGAUAACUUUAUUUAGCUCGUUCCAAUGUUAAGAUCUUUUCCUGUCAUACCUCUUUGAUCUAAAAUAUUGCCGUACUGUCAGCUCAGCUCAUUUCCUUCUCUUUGUGUUACCCAGAGUCUAACACAUUUUUAUCUUCGUGUAUGAAAAGUUAAAUAAAUUAAAGUAAAUCUCUAUGCAUUGUGGCUGCCCCAAAAUGAAAAUCUCAUACGGACCUAAUCACCUCCAUUGAAACCUAACCUAUCUGGUGUCCCAUCCAUUCUCAAGACCUUUAUUUACUACAUAUAUUAAUUCCUGAAGAUUUGCGUAAAGCCUCUUCAAUCUGAGGUAGCACUUGCAUUUUGGUGGCUCAUUUUGCAGCCUCUACAUCUUAUUCCAAAGAACUAACUCUGGGAGUUUGAGGAGACACAUUUUAAAGAACCCCAAACACUAUCCUAUUACAUUCUUUUAUCAUGCCUGGAUAAACGUCUACUCUGGCCCACCUAUAAUAAAGAAAGUAGACUAUUUUUUCAACAAAGGUGACUUGACAGUAUUUCCAACCCUUUAUCUUCUGUUCUCUUUCAAGACACCCCUAAGUCACCUAUUCGCACACAUCUCUUCUUUUGGAAAGAAGAGUUAUGGUACAGGGCAAGACUGUACUGAUGCUAAGACUUUCAGACUACUAUUGAGUUUCUUUCCUCAGCGUUUGAUGUUUCACUGGCUGGCUGGCUCAGUAUUCACGAUGCUUUGUCAGUGUCUCAAGUUAUGUUUGGAAAAGAACUUGUCCAAAUUCUCCAUUUCUCCUCCACUCACUGCAAUUGGCGGUGGCAUGGCAAUUCUCUUCAAGGUAAACAUGAAGAAACCCGAAGGCGAUAAUACUCGCCUUUCAGUUGGAGUAAUUACCUGGCCUCUACCAACUGCAGACUUCUGCGUGUUGAUAGGACUCAUUCGACAGGUUCUUUUUUAAAAUAGGUAAUGAUCUUUAAAGGAUGAAACCCUACUUCAUAACAUGCAAUUUUGCUAACCACUCUGUUUAGAAAACCGGGUUCCCUCUGGUUUCCCAGCGCUGGUAGCUCCGCUUGACGCAUGAAGUUGGGGCUGCCUCGGUCAUGCCACUUUAGAUUACUGGAUCUCACAGGAUGCUACAAGGCAGACACACCCCAGGCUGACUCACUGAGUGGGAAGUUUAAAAAGAUGGUUUUCCUCAGCCAUCAAUUAGAUAAACCACAUUUUCCAGGAGAAAAACAGCAUCUUGAAAAGCUCUUUACAAACAAAGCUCUCUUGCUCAGAAUGCUUUCGGUCAUGUUUUCUUGUGAAGGGAAGUAUGACUUUAACCUUAAUUGCACUGACAAAUUAGCAAGUAAAGUAUAAUGCCACCCUUUCCCCUCUUCCUUCCUUCCUUCUUCUUUUUUUUUUUUUUCCUCAGAAGGAGACACUUUCAUGAUUUUAGCUUUGGUAAAAUUAGAGCAUUCUUCCUCUUGGCCACUUCCCUCAAAUUUGUGGUUUUGACCAACCACUUGGUGAGCAAGUUAUAGACGCAGGCCUGAAUUCUCUUUCCUCUGCCCCACUUACACUUCUUUGUACAGUUUUCCCUACCUUUUUUGCGACCUUCUUGAAAAUACACUGAGGAAAGGACAUUUGUAGAUUGUACCAUUUUGAAAAUGGCGAUUUGGAUUGAAGAUGUAUGUCAGGAAGAAUUAAGCACUGAAAAGCGAUUUGAACCUCCUCGCCUCAUCUUUUUCCAGCGCUGGCUGCACGCGGAAAGUACUGGAUAAAUGUCUCCCACUGAACUGUAAGAUUCCCAAGGACAAAGGACGUGUUAGUGGUUUCCAUCGCCUGUAUACAGUGUACCUAACACACAUUGAGUAAUAUUUUCAAAAGCAGGCCAUCCUCAUCAUGUAAAAGAAUAAAUAAGAGAAAAACCAUGCAAUUGAAUAUUUUGCACAGAACCUUAUUUCCUUACUCACCUGAAACUUGAGACCAAGGCGACACAGAUAUUCUGGGCCUGAGGACCCCUUGCACAUAAUUUUGAUAGAGACAUCUCUUGGAUCUGAGACCAGUAGGUGAUUAUCACUAUCCCCUUGCUGCACUCCUCUUGUGAGGGAAAGCUGCUGUUGGGUAUGUGGAUGCUAGGGAUCCGGGAACACGAAGGCAUCACCCUGCUUGCAGGUCUUGUAGAACUUUGUCUGCACUGGAGUCAACUUACAGCAGCCAAAGAAUUUUGAUGUCUCCUGAAAGGCCAUACUGGGUAAGAAAAUGGGAAGAAUGAAACAAGUGACGGCAUGUUCCCUCCUGGGAGUUUCCUAUGCCAGACCCUCAUCCCUGCCCGCCCUACCAUUCUAAGUCUCAGCUCCAUUCAGUUGUGUGCUCCUGGAAAGCUUCAUAAUAAAGACAAUGUGGCCCACUUAAAGUUUGUAGUCCAACUGCAAAUUGACCCUCGAUACCUUUUGGAAGUGAUGCUCUUCUCUCUACCUAGCAUUCCUCCUUAACCAUCCUACUUGCCUGCCAUCUUCAUCAGUUUGUUUGUCUUCCAGAAAUAUCAGUGGACAAUACAGUCACCUGCAGUGGGCGCUCACCUGGAGGGCAAGGGAUGGCCCAUGGGCAUCAUUGGCUCCGCCCACAAAGGGCUCCAUGGUGUCUUGAUUUCCUCAUUUUUCUGUGAAAAUUGAUAUAGACAACAUAUAUUAAGCACUUACUAUGUUCUAGUAGCUAUCAUCACAACAGUGCUUGAGGUAGUAACUAUUAUUAUCCACAUUUUACUGAUGUGAAAGCUAAGGGGGCUAACUAGUUUCUCAAGGCCACCAGUAAAUGUCAGCUGAAUGUGGCAGAGCUGGCUUACUAACCAUGGUUGUCCCUUUCCAGAACCCAGGCUCUGAAGCAUCUCUUUCUUUAUUCUCUUCUGAUAAAAAUGGAUGUAUCUCCUCCAAGCCC
Equus caballus (horse) is the source of this 5176-nucleotide long non-coding RNA. Lineage: Eukaryota; Metazoa; Chordata; Mammalia; Perissodactyla; Equidae. The record is from Ensembl.